GCAGCAGGAGGCAGGCAGUGGCUCCAAGGGCCAGCAGCAGCGCCAGGCCCAGCGCGAUGUAGGCACCCGUGGUCAGCCAGAAGGCAAAGAGUGGACUCAGGCAUCUGGGCCUGUGACUCACCAGCGAUGAACCAGGCGAAGAGGAAGAGGAGGAAGAGCGCAUGGCAGCCCCAGACUCCAGGCUUCACUGGGGGCGGCUCAGCCCCAUCGCCACAGGGCAGGCAGGCACCACACGACCCUUGGCCCUGUCCUGGGCUUUAUUGGAGCCACAAGCAAGGUACAGCAGGACCCCCUCCCCGUACUCCCUUCCC
Alligator mississippiensis (American alligator) is the source of this 311-nucleotide long non-coding RNA. RefSeq lists it as uncharacterized. Lineage: Eukaryota; Metazoa; Chordata; Crocodylia; Alligatoridae. The record is from RefSeq and is a predicted model, not a curated record. The transcript has 3 exons.